GGUCCUCGGGCAAUGAGGACUAAUGUGGCCGUGUCUGAGCACAGAUCAGAUUUGACUAGGGGAUAAACGGAGCCCCGCCGGAGGACAAACUGAGCCGGUCCUCCUCGGAGCAGAGGGUCUGCAGCCGGGGACUCUCCCCUUGGGCUGGGAUGCUGCCCAGGGUAACUCCUCAAGGUCAAGAGCUCUCUCCUAAGGGUUGCAUAACUGGCUACUGUCAGACCCACAAUUCGGCUGAACGCCAAGACCCUCGGCCAGUGAGGACAAAUGAUCGUGUUUUUGACCACAGAUUGGAGUCGGCUACGGUAUAAGCGGGGUCCUUCCAGAGGACAGAUUGAGUCGGUCCUCCUCAAAGUGGGAACGGCACUGCCAAGAGAUUGUUAGCACCAGCCAGAUGAGUUAGUACAAGGUACAGACAUCUCGCCCGGCCCCGUGAUGA
Long non-coding RNA from Tyto alba (common barn owl), 436 nucleotides. RefSeq lists it as uncharacterized. The record is from RefSeq and is a predicted model, not a curated record. The transcript has 3 exons. NCBI's taxonomy places the organism in Eukaryota, Metazoa, Chordata, Aves, Strigiformes, Tytonidae.